Anas platyrhynchos (mallard) is the source of this 3507-nucleotide long non-coding RNA. RefSeq lists it as uncharacterized. NCBI's taxonomy places the organism in Eukaryota, Metazoa, Chordata, Aves, Anseriformes, Anatidae. The record is from RefSeq and is a predicted model, not a curated record.
GGGAAUAAGGAAAGCGCUGAGCACCUCACAGAGAAGCUGACCGGCAGUGUGGGCUGCCCGGGGACACGCCGCCUUCAUUAAGAAUCCCUCUCCCUGCUGCUCUGCACAAUGCGCUGCCACGACGGGACAGCAGAGCAGGCUUCAGGGCCUCCUGCUCAGUACCCAGCACAGCAAACAUCUCCCACGGGUUUUGCAGCCCAGCUACAGACACACAAAGUGCUCUGGCGUUCAUUAGCUCAGCGAGUAUUUGUCAAGUAACUGUCUUCCCCCAGCGAAGCUGCCAGGAGCUGCACAAGAAGCCUGACGUGAACCAUUCCGGUGGACCACACUGCUCUGGCGCCACUGAAGCGAGGGGGAGGCGUGGCCCCAGCACUGCGUUAGCAGGUGGCAGCCUGCGGCUGACCCGUGUGGGGGACUCGAGCGCGAGCUACACAACGCUGAUGCUCUCCAAGGAAGCCAGCAGCACUCUCGGUACCGUGGGAAGUUUUUAAUGGCUCGCUCAAGGCAAGGCCUCUAAAAUGUUUAUAUUAAUGCUCGCAUGUUGGAUAGCCACUCGCUCACUCUCAGCUGGAAAGCAGUCCAAGCAGCUGAGAAACAUCUGGCCGCUACCCUUGGACAACAUUUAAUCUGGUAGCCCAGGGAUUUAAGAGGUCUCUUUGGAAGGAAAGAAGUUUGGCAAAUAUCUUACUGCGAUCUCUGUUCUGCUGUUUCCCAAGCCCAGUCGUUGCCCCAGCGUCACACACAGGCGCUCUUUAUCAUGACCCUAUUUACAUAGCCCAGCAGCCGAGCCCCAGCGCUUACAGGCAGCUGUAAUUAAGCAUUACCCCCAAUUUCCAGGAAUACUCCUGAAGGUGUGGGCCCGUGUGCGCAUCCUGCUGGCAUGCUCCCCCCUGCUCCGAGGGAAGAGAAAGCAGUUGGCUGUCAACUCCCAGCCCCCCUGCUCACCCCGACACCCUGCCCCAGCCCCAGCAUGCUCAGGCCCUGCAUUGCCAGCCCCGCUGCCUUACCCCGUCCCGCACUGCACCUGGCAGCACUCACACCCCACAGAUCAGCACCUAUCUGCCCCACAGCCUGUGCCACGAGGCACACAACUCCCCUGUUCUCUGCUGUGUUUAUCAGGCAAAUGCUGGGCAAGGGGGUUUAAAGCAGACGUGUAAAGAGAGAAGGGAAAAGGGACUCGUUUCUGAGAGGGAGCUCAGAGCCUGCUUCCCCUCGCUUUCCAGAACUCUUGCCUCUUCCUCCCUACCCCAAGAAAUUUUGUCGUUGGCUAUCCUGACACUUUCUUUGAUGAGUGGAGAGCUAAUGAAAUAAGAUAAAAAUGUUGAGCAAGUGAAAGAAAGGGACUUUUAGACAGGAUCUGACAUUUAUUCUCCCCUCUCGUUACCCAUCACCGUACCGCAAGGCUUUCUAGACAAGUCAGGGCAAAGCCGCCAACAACCUAGCUUGCGAGGUAGAAAAUUAGGACAGGACCCACAUUUCUGAAAACCCUUUGUAGGCUUUAUUCAAAAGGAGAUAAGGCUGAAAAAGGCGACAAGAUGCUCGACAGACAUAAAGCGAUGAGAAUCUACCUUAUCUCCUUAUCUUCCACGUUGUCUUCUGCUCUUUGCUUUUUUGUUGCAACAAACAGGGGAGACGUGGGGAAAAUGUAAGGGCACAAACAGAGGGCACACAGCACCCAGAAGGGAUGGAUAGGGAGAAGACACUCAAUAAAAGCUAAAAACGUCUCUUUCCUAGCAGGGGCUGAGCAUCCUGGCUCUGCUCCAGCAAAGCACUUAAGCGUGUGCCUAACUCCUAUUUGACUUCACUUGGGCCCUUCACAGGCUUGAAAGUUAAGCACCUUCCCCAGCAAUCUGCUGCAGCAGGACCGGAGAAAACGAGAAGCUGUUAAGGGACCUGACUCUUAGUCAACAGCAAAGUUAACGGGCUUUUGGAUAGCAUCUGAGCCAAGGAUUAAUGCAAGAUGGCAAUUUCCACCGACUUAGGAAAACUCUGAGCCACCAGAGAAAACUUAAAUUUAAAUUAUUAAGUUGAAAAAAAAAAAAGAUAUUAAGAAUAUCAUCAGAUUUCUUCACCGUCUUUGAGCUUGAGGUAGGUAGAGCUUGAAGUAGGCACAUAUUUACAGGUACGUGCAGAACUGGAACUCCCUUGUUUCAGAGCAAGCAAAUGCCAGCUUAAAAAAAAUACUGAAUUCCCUGUGCUGUUCCUUGGUGCAGGAAACGCUGCCAGGUUGAGGCUAAGCUAACCUCAGACGCCUAACGGCCAAUUACUGCAAACAGCAAGGUAAGCCGCAAGCAGCACCUACAACUCUAAGCAAGACACUACAAAGACUGAUAUUUGGAAAGGGAGUGAGCGCACAUCUCAUCGCUUCUUACGCUGUCAAGGACUCUUGAAAAAGUCUCUGGCUUCUGUUUCCCUUGCUAAAAUUGGCAGAACUUGACGCUGCAUCUGCCUGGUACUUCCAGAGGGAGCUCUGGUAUCGCAGCUCUCAAGCACAGCUAAGAUAAAACAUUUGGGCUGCUCUGUUGUUUGGUUGGGCUGUUUGCCCAAGAAUUAGGGGCACAACUGCAUUCAGCUCUGCAUGCACUGCCUGCUGCUCCUGCCGUGCUGCUGUUUGUCCCUGUAUGAAUCCAGGCUGAAACUCCGACAGCACUGGCAUCGCACAGAGCAGCUGUUGACACUUUUUGGCUUAAAAGUUGUUAAUCUAAAACUUUAAGUUUCUUUCAUCAUCAUUAAGUCCAAAGCACUGAGUUAAGAGUUCAGAAAAGGCAUAUUUAAGCACAUGCUCCCCAAAAACACAUGGAGUUUAAUUACAGCAAAGCAAGAAGCAAGGAACAGGCAGUGUUUAUUAAGAAGUAAAACCUCACUGCACUGCUGGUCUCCCCUUAAUGCCUCUGCAGUGAGAAAGCCGUGUUAAACAGGUUUUUAAAACUGAAAAUGAUUCAGGAGAAGUAUGAAAAGCGGUUCCCACAAGAGGAGUUAACAUCGAAGUGAAGCAGCCCUUGCACUUUGCUUGGACCAAAGCGUUGCAAAGCCUGCUAGCUCCCUCUGCCGUCCCCACGCCAGCAGCUGAGUCGAACACGCUCCGCGACCACCGCCGGCACUGCGGGUGAGGUUUUAUGGAUGUGUCCGGGGCAUUUGCAACCACGACGCCUUGCGCAAACCCCCGAGGCAGCAGCAGGAGCAGGCAGAGGGCAAGGUCCUGCUCAAACCACAGCCUCUUCCCUGAGCAACGCUUCAGUCACUUCCAGCAGUACCGGCUCCAGGGAACAGCAUCUAUUUUAUGGCCAACGCACUUAUUACCUCUUCGUAUCUUUCCCUUCAGACACACCAGUUCAGGACAUAAACCAACGGUGAGCAAGGAUCAACUCUCAAGUGCCGUGCCUUUAUACUGCCAGAGGUAGAAUAAAUACAGAGAAGAGGUGAGGUCAUUCCCCGACUUCAUUUCUGAAGUGUGACCCAGCACCCAGAAACCCACAGUGCCUGUGGGAUGACUGAUCCCUUCCACGA